Molecule: transfer RNA, 69 nt
Filed under: Rattus norvegicus (Norway rat)
Lineage: Eukaryota; Metazoa; Chordata; Mammalia; Rodentia; Muridae
Rfam family: tRNA
About the family: Transfer RNA (tRNA) molecules are approximately 80 nucleotides in length. Their secondary structure includes four short double-helical elements and three loops (D, anti-codon, and T loops).
Source: Rfam by way of RNAcentral
GGGGAUUUAGCUCAGUGGGAGAGCGCUUGCCUAGGAAGCGCAAGGCCCUGGGUUCGGUUCCCAGCUCCG